CCUACGGGAGGCAGCAGUAGGGAAUAUUGCUCAAUGGGGGAAACCCUGAAGCAGCAACGCCGCGUGGAGGAUGAAGGUUUUCGGAUUGUAAACUCCUUUUGUUAGAGAAGAUAAUGACGGUAUCUAACGAAUAAGCACCGGCUAACUCCGUGCCAGCAGCCGCGGUAAUACGGAGGGUGCAAGCGUUACUCGGAAUCACUGGGCGUAAAGAGCGCGUAGGCGGGAUAGCAAGUCAGAUGUGAAAUCCUAGGGCUUAACCAUAGAACUGCAUUUGAAACUGUUAUUCUAGAGUAUGGGAGUGGUAGGUGGAAUUCUUGGUGUAGGGGUAAAAUCCGUAGAGAUCAAGAGGAAUACUCAUUGCGAAGGCGACCUGCUAGAACAUAACUGACGCUGAUGCGCGAAAGCGUGGGGAGCAAACAGGAUUAGAUACCCGUGUAGUC
RNAcentral lists this ribosomal RNA (440 nucleotides) under uncultured bacterium. RNAcentral describes it as "partial 16S ribosomal RNA". It matches the Rfam family "Bacterial small subunit ribosomal RNA", at positions 338 to 795 of the family's 1533-position model. The record is from RNAcentral.